RNAcentral lists this transfer RNA (69 nucleotides) under Staphylinidae sp. BMNH 1274248. RNAcentral's name for it is "tRNA-Gln". Lineage: Eukaryota; Metazoa; Arthropoda; Insecta; Coleoptera; Staphylinidae. The record is from RNAcentral.
UAUAUUUUAGUAUAUGAUGUACUUAAGUUUUUGAUACUUAAAGGAAUAGUUUAAUUCUAUUAAAUAUAG